UUGAAGAAAGUGAAGCCACAAAACACA
Molecule: non-coding RNA, 27 nt
Filed under: Homo sapiens (human)
Lineage: Eukaryota; Metazoa; Chordata; Mammalia; Primates; Hominidae
Source: RNAcentral